CCCAAGGUCAUUCAAUUGGCUUUCAUGCCUAAGGUGGGACUAGAACUCCCCAUUUCCUGGUGAUUGGCCCGAAAAGUCACUCAGGUGGCUCUCAUGGCUAAGGUGGGACUAGAACUCCCCAUCUCCUGGUGAUUGGUCCAAAGUCAACCAGCUGG
This is a non-coding RNA of Notechis scutatus (mainland tiger snake), 155 nucleotides long. The record is from RefSeq and is a predicted model, not a curated record. NCBI's taxonomy places the organism in Eukaryota, Metazoa, Chordata, Lepidosauria, Squamata, Elapidae.